This 1612-nucleotide ribosomal RNA is filed under the name Escherichia coli. Its description in RNAcentral is "partial 23S ribosomal RNA". It matches the Rfam family "Bacterial large subunit ribosomal RNA", at positions 30 to 1683 of the family's 2925-position model. Lineage: Bacteria; Pseudomonadati; Pseudomonadota; Gammaproteobacteria; Enterobacterales; Enterobacteriaceae. The record is from RNAcentral.
GCCCUGGCAGUCAGAGGCGAUGAAGGACGUGCUAAUCUGCGAUAAGCGUCGGUAAGGUGAUAUGAACCGUUAUAACCGGCGAUUUCCGAAUGGGGAAACCCAGUGUGAUUCGUCACACUAUCAUUAACUGAAUCCAUAGGUUAAUGAGGCGAACCGGGGGAACUGAAACAUCUAAGUACCCCGAGGAAAAGAAAUCAACCGAGAUUCCCCCAGUAGCGGCGAGCGAACGGGGAGGAGCCCAGAGCCUGAAUCAGUGUGUGUGUUAGUGGAAGCGUCUGGAAAGGCGCGCGAUACAGGGUGACAGCCCCGUACACAAAAAUGCACAUGCUGUGAGCUCGAUGAGUAGGGCGGGACACGUGGUAUCCUGUCUGAAUAUGGGGGGACCAUCCUCCAAGGCUAAAUACUCCUGACUGACCGAUAGUGAACCAGUACCGUGAGGGAAAGGCGAAAAGAACCCCGGCGAGGGGAGUGAAAAAGAACCUGAAACCGUGUACGUACAAGCAGUGGGAGCACAGAGCAAUCUGUGUGACUGCGUACCUUUUGUAUAAUGGGUCAGCGACUUAUAUUCUGUAGCAAGGUUAACCGAAUAGGGGAGCCGAAGGGAAACCGAGUCUUAACUGGGCGUUAAGUUGCAGGGUAUAGACCCGAAACCCGGUGAUCUAGCCAUGGGCAGGUUGAAGGUUGGGUAACACUAACUGGAGGACCGAACCGACUAAUGUUGAAAAAUUAGCGGAUGACUUGUGGCUGGGGGUGAAAGGCCAAUCAAACCGGGAGAUAGCUGGUUCUCCCCGAAAGCUAUUUAGGUAGCGCCUCGUGAAUUCAUCUCCGGGGGUAGAGCACUGUUUCGGCAAGGGGGUCAUCCCGACUUACCAACCCGAUGCAAACUGCGAAUACCGGAGAAUGUUAUCACGGGAGACACACGGCGGGUGCUAACGUCCGUCGUGAAGAGGGAAACAACCCAGACCGCCAGCUAAGGUCCCAAAGUCAUGGUUAAGUGGGAAACGAUGUGGGAAGGCCCAGACAGCCAGGAUGUUGGCUUAGAAGCAGCCAUCAUUUAAAGAAAGCGUAAUAGCUCACUGGUCGAGUCGGCCUGCGCGGAAGAUGUAACGGGGCUAAACCAUGCACCGAAGCUGCGGCAGCGACACUAUGUGUUGUUGGGUAGGGGAGCGUUCUGUAAGCCUGUGAAGGUGUGCUGUGAGGCAUGCUGGAGGUAUCAGAAGUGCGAAUGCUGACAUAAGUAACGAUAAAGCGGGUGAAAAGCCCGCUCGCCGGAAGACCAAGGGUUCCUGUCCAACGUUAAUCGGGGCAGGGUGAGUCGACCCCUAAGGCGAGGCCGAAAGGCGUAGUCGAUGGGAAACAGGUUAAUAUUCCUGUACUUGGUGUUACUGCGAAGGGGGGACGGAGAAGGCUAUGUUGGCCGGGCGACGGUUGUCCCGGUUUAAGCGUGUAGGCUGGUUUUCCAGGCAAAUCCGGAAAAUCAAGGCUGAGGCGUGAUGACGAGGCACUACGGUGCUGAAGCAACAAAUGCCCUGCUUCCAGGAAAAGCCUCUAAGCAUCAGGUAACAUCAAAUCGUACCCCAAACCGACACAGGUGGUCAGGUAGAGAAUACCA